AGGGGCGUAGCUCAGCUGGUAGAGCAGCGGUCUCCAAAACCGCAGGUCGCGCGUUCGAGCCGUGCCGCCCCUG
RNAcentral lists this transfer RNA (73 nucleotides) under Candidatus Dormiibacterota bacterium. RNAcentral describes it as "tRNA-Trp". It matches the Rfam family "tRNA". From Rfam's summary of the family: Transfer RNA (tRNA) molecules are approximately 80 nucleotides in length. Their secondary structure includes four short double-helical elements and three loops (D, anti-codon, and T loops). Further hydrogen bonds mediate the characteristic L-shaped molecular structure. tRNAs have two regions of fundamental functional importance: the anti-codon, which is responsible for specific mRNA codon recognition, and the 3' end, to which the tRNAs corresponding amino acid is attached (by aminoacyl-tRNA synthetases). tRNAs cope with the degeneracy of the genetic code in two manners: having more than one tRNA (with a specific anti-codon) for a particular amino acid; and 'wobble' base-pairing, i.e. permitting non-standard base-pairing at the 3rd anti-codon position. The record is from RNAcentral. Lineage: Bacteria; Bacillati; Candidatus Dormiibacterota. RNAcentral also lists the same sequence under 3 other names.